This is a long non-coding RNA of Bos taurus (domestic cattle), 3469 nucleotides long. The record is from Ensembl. Lineage: Eukaryota; Metazoa; Chordata; Mammalia; Artiodactyla; Bovidae.
GAUACACAAUAUUGCCAUUUUGCAAACUGUAAUAUAUUAAUAUAUUUAGCCAUUUUUCACAAUAGCAGCUAACAUCAAGAAAAAAGCAAAAGCAAAGCUCCAGCCAGGUGCAUGCUACUUGAUAAAAGAACACAGAACCACUUAUAAUCAUGCCAAUGGGAUGGAGCCUGGGUCUGAUCCAGUGGCUAAUUUGCAGGAAAUGAAGAGGUCAAAGGGCCAUGUUGAGCUGUACUAUGAGGAUGCAAUUGACAAAAUCCAGAACUUUGAGAAACUCUCCAGGUCAAACAGCCUCAAUUCUUCAACAGAUAAACUGCAAGGGAAAGAAAGAGAUAUAAAGGGAAACUCUGGAUUAUAAGAAGCUUACAAGACAUAUCAAAAAAUUUUUUUUAAUGGGCAAAACUAUACUGUCUAGGGAUGCACACUUGGAUGCUUAAACCAUUAAGAAAUGCAAGGAUAUAAUUACUAUAAAAGUCAGAGAAGAAAACUGAGGCUCAGAAAGGUUUUCAUGGCCACGCAGAAUGUGAUGGAGCAGCCUGGUUUUGAACCUGGGCAGCCUGGCUCCCAGUGGCUCUCACCCACUGACUCAACAUUCAGAAAACGAAGAAAAACCCACUUCACUCAGUCAUUUCUGACUUUGUGACCCCAGGGACUGCAGCACACCAGGCUUCCCUGUCCUUCACCAUCUCUCAGAGCUUGUUCAAAUUCAUGUUAAGUGAGUCGGUGAUGUCAUCCAACCAUCUCAUCUUCUGUCACCCCCUUCUCCUCCUGCCUUCAGUCUUUCCCCGCAUCAGUCUUUUCCAAUGAGUCGGCUCUUGGCAUCAGGCGGCCAAAGUAUUAUUGGAGCUUCAGCUUCAGCAUCAGUCCUUCCAACGAAUAUUCAGGAUUGAUUUCCUUUAGGAUGGACUGGUUUACCAUGCAAGUUUCUGUAAAACAAGAUGCUGUUUGUCAUUGCACUUCAACAGUGAAUCAGAGAGGCACACCGGUGUAUCCCUUCUGCCUUCCUUCUGACGCACUGCCGGGGGCUAUCGUGGACAGGACUGGAGUUGGACUUGGGACCCAUUGGUCUCAUGUGGAUUCUGGUACUUUCUUAUGUGAUCCUGGAGCAAAAGAAAAGCAAAGCAUUGCCCUUUGGAAUUAAGACUCCAAGCUUGGAUAAAGAAUGUUCUUUGCAGUAACUGAGGUGCUAUGACAAAAGGUAGACACUUGGUGGCGCUCCAGUCAAUCUGCAUUAGAGAAAAUAACAAGAGGAUGAUAGUAAUGCCGAUCUUCAAAUUAACAGUGGCUUUGGAGAAGGAAAUGGCAACCCACUCCAGUACUUCUUGCUUUGAAAAUCCCAUGGACGGAGGAGCUUGGUGCAGGCUACUAUCCAUGGGGUCACAAAGAGUCGGGCACGACUGAGCGACUUCACUUCACUUCACUUCACUUCUAUUUACUGAGUUCUUGCUAUGAGCUCCUAGAAUGUGCUAACAGACUCACAAACUUUAUCUCAUUUUGUCAUUCCAUUAUCUCAUUAUCUCAUUCCAAGCACCUCAUUAGUUUGAUGCUAUUACCGAAGAUUUUAAAGAUAGGGUGUAUUGCUGUUGAGAAUUUUAAAAAUGUUUUAAUGGAGUCACAAUUCACCUACUUUGUAAAAUGUACAAGCCCUGAGUGUACAGCCUGGUGAAUUGUUCUAAGUGUACAUACACAGAUACCCGCACCCAGAUGAGGGUAUGAAACUGCUAUAACAACCUUUCCACUCACCCCCCACCCAAGGCAACCACUAUCCUGACUGCUAUCACCAUUUAUUCAUUUUGGGCGCUUUUGAACUUCAUAUAAAUCAAAUUAUACAUAUAUAAUGUUUAGAGUUGCCAGGUCUAUCACAUAAAAGGCCAGGAUGCCAAUUAAAUUUGAAUUUCCUAUGAGACACUGUUCUUAAUUUGCUAAGCCGUGUCUGGUUCUUUGUGAUCCCAUAGACUGCAGCACACCAGGCUUCCCUGUCCUUCACUAUCUCCCAGAGUUUGCUCACACUCAUGUCUAUUGAGGCAGAGAUGCCAUCCAACCAUCCCAUACUCUGUCGCCCCUUCUCCUCUUGCCCUGAAUUUUUCUCAGCAUCAGGGCCUUUUCCAAUGAGUCGGCUCUUCGCAUCAGGUGGCCAAAUAUUAGAGCUUCAACUUCAGCAUCAGUCCUUCCAGUGAAUAUUCAGGAUUGAUCUCCUUUAGAAUCGACUGGUUUAAUCUCCUUGUUGUCCAAGAGACUUUUAAGAGUCUUCUCCAGCAACAUAAUUUGAAAGAAUCAAUUCUUUGGGACUCAAUCUUCUUUAUGGUCCAACUCUCACAUCCAUACAUGACUACUGAAAAAACCAUAGCUUUGAUUAUACCGACCUCGUUGGCAAAGUGAUGUCUCUGCUUUUUAAUAUGCUGUCUACGUUUGUCAUAGCUUUUCUUCCAAGGAGCAGCGUCUUUUAAUUUCAUGGCUGCAGUCACCAUCCAAAGUGAUUUUGGUGCCCAAGAAAAUAAAAUCUGCCACUGUUUCCACUUUUUCCCCAUCUAUUUUCCAUGAAGUAAUGGGACCAGAUGCCAUGAUCUUAGUUUUUUGAUUGUUGAUUUCUAAGCCAACUUUUCACUCUCCUCUUUCACUAUCCUCACCAAGAUGCUCUUUAGUUCCUCUUCACUUUCUGCCAUUAGAGUGAUAUCAUCUGCAUAUCUGAGGUUGUUGAUUUUACCCUGGCGAUCUUCAUUCCAGCUUGUAAUGCAUCCAGGCCAGCAUUUCGCUUAAUACACUCUGCGUGUGAGUUAAACAAGAAAGGUGACAAUAUGCAACCCUCAUGGACUCCUUUCUCAAUUUGGAACCAGGCUGUUGUUCCAUGUCCAGUUUUAACUGUUGCUUCUUGACCUGCAUGCAGGUUUCUCAGGAGACAGGUCAGGUGGUCUGGUAUUCCCAUCUCUUUCAGAAUUUCCCACAGUUUGUUGUCAUCCACACAGUCAAAGGUUUUAGCAUAGUCAAUGAAGCAGAAGUAGAUGUUUUUCUAUAAUUCCCUUGCUUUCUCUAUGAUCCAGCAAAUGUUGGCAGUUCGAUCUCUGGUUCCUCUUUUCUAAAUCCAGCUUGUACAUCUGGAAGUUCUUGGUUCACAUACUGUUGAAGUCUAAGUUGAAGGAUUUUGAGCAUUAUGUUGCUCACAUGUGAAAAAAGCACAGUUGUACAGUAGUUUGAACAUCCUUUGGCAUUGCUUUUCUUUGAGAUUGGAAUGAAAAUUGACCUUUUCCAGUCUUGUGGCCACUUCUGAGUUUUCCCAAUUUGCUGGCACAUAGAAUAUAGCACUUUAGCAGCAGCAUCUCUUAGGAUUUUAAAUAGCUCAGCUGGAAUAUUUUUAUACUAAAAAAAUUCAUAGUUUGUCUGAAAUUCAAAUUUAACCAAAUAUCCUAUAUUUUUUUCUGAUGAGUCUAGUACUCUUUUGUGCCUGGUUCCUUUUAACAUAAUUGUGAGAUUCACC